Molecule: ribosomal RNA, 460 nt
Filed under: uncultured bacterium
Lineage: Bacteria
Description: partial 16S ribosomal RNA
Rfam family: Bacterial small subunit ribosomal RNA
Source: RNAcentral
CCUACGGGUGGCAGCAGUGAGGAAUAUUGGUCAAUGGGCGCGAGCCUGAACCAGCCAAGUAGCGUGAAGGAUGACUGCCCUACGGGUUGUAAACUUCUUUUAUAAAGGACUAAAGUGAUGCACGUUUGCCUUUUUGUAUGUACUUUAUGAAUAAGGAUCGGUUAACUCGGUCCAAGCAGCCGCGGUAAUACGGAGGUGCAGAGCUUUAUCCGGAUUUAUUGGGUUUAAGGGGAGCGUAGAUGGGUUGUUAAGUCAGUUGUGAAAGUUUGCGGCUAAACGGUAAAAGUGCAAUUGAUACUGGCAGCCUGGAAUACAGAUGAGGUAGGCGGAAUUCGUGGUGUAGCGGUGAAAUGCUUAGAUAUCACGAAGAACUCCGAUUGCGAAGGCAGCCUACUAAACUGCCACUGACAUUGAUGCUCGAAAGUGUGGGUAUCAAACAGGAUUAGAUACCCGAGUAGUC